Molecule: non-coding RNA, 92 nt
Organism: Mycena rosella
Lineage: Eukaryota; Fungi; Basidiomycota; Agaricomycetes; Agaricales; Mycenaceae
Source: the annotation of a GenBank genome assembly
AGCAGCAUGGCGCAGUCUGGAAGCGCGCGGGGCCCAUAUUGCUUGUGUAAGCGGUUACCCCGAGGUCACUCGAUCGAAACGAGUUGCUGCUA